RNAcentral lists this ribosomal RNA (463 nucleotides) under uncultured Phycisphaerae bacterium. RNAcentral's name for it is "bacterial SSU rRNA". It matches the Rfam family "Bacterial small subunit ribosomal RNA", at positions 338 to 795 of the family's 1533-position model. Lineage: Bacteria; Pseudomonadati; Planctomycetota; Phycisphaerae. The record is from RNAcentral.
CCUACGGGGGGCUGCAGUGAGGAAUAUUGGGCAAUGGGCGCAAGCCUGACCCAGCAAUGCCGCGUGCAGGAGGAAGUCCUUCGGGAUGUAAACUGCUGUCAGGGGUCAACAAGCAAAGGGACCUAAUACGUCCUGGCGUUGAGUCGCCCCAGAGGAAGCCUCGACUAACUCUGUGCCAGCAGUCGCGGUAAGACAGAGGAGGCAAGCGUUGUUCGGAAUCACUGGGCUUAAAGCGCGUGUAGGCGGCUUGGUAAGUGUCGUGUGAAAUCCCAUGGCUCAACCAUGGAACUGCACGGCAAACUACCUAGCUUGAGGUCGGUAGAGGUGCCUGGAACUCUAGGUGGAGCGGUGAAAUGCGUAGAUAUCUAGAGGAACGCCAGAAGCGAAAGCGGGGCACUGGGCCGAUUCUGACGCUGAGACGCGAAAGCGUGGGGAGCAAACAGGCUUAGAUACCCUUGUAGUC